ACGCUAGCGGCAGGCUUAAUACAUGCAAGGCGAGGGGGCAGCAAUGUCACCGUCGUACGGGUGCGUAACGCGUAUGCAACCUACCUUCAACUGGGGGAUAGCCCGGGGAAACCCGGAUUAAUACCGCAUAAUACAGGGGGCCCACAUGGGUCUAUUUGUUAAAGAUUUAUUGGUUGAAGAUGGGCAUGCGUUCGAUUAGCUAGUUGGUACGGGUAACGGCCUACCAAGGCAACGAUCGAUAGGGGAGCUGAGAGGUUGAUCCCCCACACGGGCACUGAGAUACGGGCCCGACUCCUACGGGAGGCAGCAGUAGGGAAUAUUGGGCAAUGGAUGCAAGUCUGACCCAGCCAUGCCGCGUGCCGGAUGAAGGCCCUCAGGGUUGUAAACGGCUUUUAUUCGGGAAGAAGAGCAGGGAUGCGUCCCUGUGUGACGGUACUGAAUGAAUAAGCACCGGCUAACUCCGUGCCAGCAGCCGCGGUAAUACGGGGGGUGCGAGCGUUGUCCGGAUUUAUUGGGUUUAAAGGGUGCGUAGGUGGCUUUUUAAGUCAGUGGUGAAAUACAGCCGCUCAACGGUUGAGGUGCCAUUGAUACUGAAGAGCUUGAAACAAGUGGAGGCUGCCGGAAUGGAUGGUGUAGCGGUGAAAUGCAUAGAUAUCAUCCAGAACACCGAUUGCGAAGGCAGGUGGCUACGUUUGAUUGACACUGAGGCACGAAAGCAUGGGGAGCAAAC
Molecule: ribosomal RNA, 730 nt
Filed under: uncultured bacterium
Lineage: Bacteria
Description: bacterial SSU rRNA
Rfam family: Bacterial small subunit ribosomal RNA
Source: RNAcentral